GUUGAACGCUGGCGGCAGGCCUAACACAUGCAAGUCGAACGGUAACAGGAAGCAGCUUGCUGCUUCGCUGACGAGUGGCGGGCGGGUGAGUAAUGUCUGGGAAACUGCCUGAUGGAGGGGGAUAACUACUGGAAACGGUAGCUAAUACCGCAUAACGUCGCAAGACGAAAGAGGGGGACCUUCGGGCCUCUUGCCAUCGGAUGUGCCAAGAUGGGAUUAGUGAGUAGGUGGGGUAACGGCUCACCUAGGCGUCGAUCCCUAGCUGGUACGAUAGGAUGACCAGCCACACUGGAACUGAGACACGGUCCAGAAUCCUACGGGAGGCAGCAGUGGGGAAUAUUGCACAAUGGGCGCAAGCCUGAUGCAGCCAUGCCGCGUGUAUGAAGAAGGCCUUCGGGUUGUAAAGUACUUUCAGCGGGGAGGAAGGCGAUAAGGUUAAUAACCUUGUCGAUUGACGUUACCCGCAGAAGAAGCACCGGCUAACUCCGUGCCAGCCGCCGCAGUAA
RNAcentral lists this ribosomal RNA (506 nucleotides) under uncultured bacterium. Its description in RNAcentral is "partial 16S ribosomal RNA". It matches the Rfam family "Bacterial small subunit ribosomal RNA", at positions 28 to 523 of the family's 1533-position model. The record is from RNAcentral.